GACGAACGCUGGCGGCGUGCUUAACACAUGCAAGUCGAACGGAAAGACCCUGCUUUUGUGGGGUGCUCGAGUGGCGAACGGGUGAGUAACACGUGAGUAACCUGCCCUUGACUUUGGGAUAACUUCAGGAAACUGGGGCUAAUACCGGAUAGGAGCUCCUGCUGCAUGGUGGGGGUUGGAAAGUUUCGGCGGUUGGGGAUGGACUCGCGGCUUAUCCGCUUGUUGGUGGGGUAGUGGCUUACCAAGGCUUUGACGGGUAGCCGGCCUGAGAGGGUGACCGGCGACAUUGGGACUGAGAGACGGACCAGACUCCUACGGGAGGCAGCAGGGGGGAAUAUUGCACAAUGGGCGGAAGCCUGAUGCAGCAACGCCGCGUGCGGGAUGACGGCCUUCGGGUUGUAAACCGCUUUCGCCUGUGACGAAGCGUGAGUGACGGUAAUGGGUAAAGAAGCACCGGCUAACUACGUG
RNAcentral lists this ribosomal RNA (468 nucleotides) under uncultured bacterium. RNAcentral's name for it is "partial 16S ribosomal RNA". It matches the Rfam family "Bacterial small subunit ribosomal RNA", at positions 28 to 507 of the family's 1533-position model. The record is from RNAcentral.